GUCCACGCCGUAAACGAUGAGUGCUAGAUGUCGGGGGACAUAGUCCUUCGGUGUCGCAGCUAACGCAUUAAGCACUCCGCCUGGGGAGUACGGUCGCAAGAUUAAAACUCAAAGGAAUUGACGGGGGCCCGCACAAGCGGUGGAGCAUGUGGUUUAAUUCGACGCAACGCGAAGAACCUUACCAGCCCUUGACAUACCGAUCGCGAUUUCCAGAGAUGGAUUUCUUCAGUUCGGCUGGAUCGG
Molecule: ribosomal RNA, 243 nt
Filed under: uncultured bacterium
Lineage: Bacteria
Description: partial 16S ribosomal RNA
Rfam family: Bacterial small subunit ribosomal RNA
Source: RNAcentral